GCCUUCUUAGCUCAGUGGUAGAGCGCGUCACUAGUACUGGCUUUAAAUAGCGAGUGCGGUUGACAUGACGAGGUCAGUCGUUCAAGUCGGCUAGGAGGCA
Gloeopeniophorella convolvens is the source of this 100-nucleotide non-coding RNA. Lineage: Eukaryota; Fungi; Basidiomycota; Agaricomycetes; Russulales. The record is from the annotation of a GenBank genome assembly.